This 498-nucleotide ribosomal RNA is filed under the name uncultured bacterium. RNAcentral describes it as "partial 16S ribosomal RNA". It matches the Rfam family "Bacterial small subunit ribosomal RNA", at positions 30 to 523 of the family's 1533-position model. The record is from RNAcentral.
AUUGAACGCUGGCGGAAUGUUUUACACAUGCAAGUCGAACGGUAACAGGCCGCAAGGUGCUGACGAGUGGCGAACGGGUGAGUAAUGCAUCGGAACGUGCCCAGUCGUGGGGGAUAACGCAGCGAAAGCUGUGCUAAUACCGCAUACGAUCUAUGGAUGAAAGCGGGGGAACGUAAGGCCUCGCGCGAUUGGAGCGGGCGAUGUCAGAUUAGGUAGUUGGUGGGGUAAAGGCUCACCAAGCCAACGAUCUGUAGCUGGUCUGAGAGGACGACCAGCCACACUGGGACUGAGACACGGCCCAGACUCCUACGGGAGGCAGCAGUGGGGAAUUUUGGACAAUGGGCGCAAGCCUGAUCCAGCAAUGCCGCGUGCAGGAAGAAGGCCUUCGGGUUGUAAACUGCUUUUGUACGGAACGAAACGGCGAGCUCUAAUACAGUUUGCUAAUGACGGUACCGUAAGAAUAAGCACCGGCUAACUACGUGCCAGCCGCCGCCGUAA